RNA transcript from Brachypodium distachyon (stiff brome), 4487 nucleotides. RefSeq lists it as uncharacterized. The transcript is spliced from 8 exons. Lineage: Eukaryota; Viridiplantae; Streptophyta; Magnoliopsida; Poales; Poaceae. The record is from RefSeq and is a predicted model, not a curated record.
UUCACAGUACCCCAUUUAUAUACCUAUAAUUCUUUACCGGCCCAAUUGGCGUCCCACGUUUUCAUUUCUUUUUUCCCUCUUUCUUCCCCCUUUGGCUUCUCUGGGCACCGGAGCUGCGGAGCAGUAGCAGCAAAGCAGGAGGAGCCCACGCCCGUCGGGUUCAUCGACCUCCCGGUAACUUGUUUGACGGAAUGCUUCAGGGGGGCGGAGGGCAUGGGCCGCCGGGGGACGGGUCCCCGGGGACGUCCGGCGGGGGAGACGGCAGUGCCCGCGACCGCAAUUUGCUUGACGUAAUGCGCCAGGAGGGCGGAGGGCAGGGGACGCCCGGCGGGGGUGGAGGUGGCGGUGGCGGGGGAGGCGGCGGUGGCCGAGGCUUUUCCCACGACCGCAUCAGCGACCUCCCGGACGAGCUGUGCCACCACGUCAUGUCCUUCCUCAAGGCGUGGGAGGUGGUCCGCAUGAGCGCGCUCUCGAGGCGGUGGCGCCACACGUGGGCCUCCGCGCCGUGCCUCGACAUCCGCCACCCCUGCGCCUGCGACAACCGCGCCGACCAUAGGUGGUACAACACGUUCGUCAACAACCUGCUGCUCAGGAGGAGCCCCGGCGUGCCGCUGGACACGCUCCGCCUGAGCUGGACCCACGAUGGCGCCUCCGACAUGUGGACCGCCCAUGCCGUCAGGCGCCACGCCAGAGCCAUCGAGUUCUCCGGGGCGCGGCACUACCCGAGGCCGGAGCCAGCGUACACGAGCUUCUUGUUCGGAAAUUUCAAGAUCUUGAAGCUCACCCGUGUCAAGAUGCGUAGCGAGCUGCUCGCGCAACUCUGUUCUAGGUGCACUUGCUUGGAAGAACUGGAGCUCAAGGACAGUAACAUACAUGGACAUGGCGUUACGGUUCGAUCAGGCUCCCUCAGGCGUUUGACUAUGGUCAGCUGCUUCGCCCCUAAGGGCCUCUUGGUUGAUGCUCCGGGCCUCGUCUUGAUGCGCUGCACCAGACCUUACAAUUUUGUUCCCAAGAUCAGGAACUCGGGCUCACUGGUGACUGCCACUAUUAUGCUUGAUGACACUUGCUUGUUUCGUCAUGAUGGUGAUGAACGGCCACAUAUGGAGGACCACGGAGAUGACGAUGAUGUCUGCUUCGCUUAUGCUGAUGGUCAGAAUCCUGAUGACAGUGAAUCUGCAGAAUCUCAUGCUGAGGACCCUGACUGCACUGAAUCUGGUAAUGAUGACCAUACUGCGGACCAUGGUGGAACUGCCAGUGUGUAUCCAAGUCUGAAUGGUGAUUACUGUGGGAGCAAUGCUAUUACAGUUUUUGGUGGCAAUGGCAUUCUUCGAAGCCUCUCCAAUGUGAGAACAAUGGAGCUGUUAGCUCAUCGAGGAGAGGUUCUGCUGAGGAGUCAAUUGAGGAAGUGCCCUUUGUUCAAAAACCUCAAGACACUGUCGCUUGGUGAAUGGUGUAUAGGCCCUGACUUUGAUGCAUUGUCAACCAUUCUUGAGCAUUCACCCAACUUAGAGAGGCUUUAUCUCUGCCUCGACAAGGCCUACAAGAGCAGAGGCGAAAUCAAUCCAAGUGGGAGACCGUUUACUUGCAAUCACUUGAAGAUGGUCGAUAUCAUAUGUUUGACGGAUGACACGAUGGGAGAUAAGUUGGCAGAAUUCUUCCACGCUACAAGUGGUUUUGUCUUUAUCCUCAGAAUGGCAACAGCACCACAGGCUCACGGGAGGCGCACAUGGCGCAGGACGAAGCUGUGGAGGGUUCUGCAAAGAGCGUACGAGAAAGCCAGAGCCGGGAGUGAGGGAAAGGUGGUGCAGGAACAAGGUCCAUGUAAGUAAUACUACUGUGGUUGAUGCAAGUAAUCUGCUUCCAGCUGUGGUGUCGAGGUAAAACGGCAACCGGGACGCAUUGAGCAGACUCUGAACACAGAAAAACAGCAGAAUUCUCAGCCGCUCUCCGUGGAUCGGUUGGUGGAGGAGCGGAACACCUCGGGGUCAGCGGAGGAGCGGUUUAAUAUGCUUUGCUCAAGGUCAAAAGCUACAGUGUUGACAUCGAGCCAAGCCAAAUCAGCAGCACCAAGGUCAGCAGCGCGCAUAGGAAAGCCCCGGCGACCUCCGCCGGCGAGCUCCAUCCCUGCGGGGCGAUCGACCAACGAGCAGGCUCCGCCGCCACCCCGCGCCAGAUUUAUUGAAGGUAUCUUCAACAGUUGGGACAUUGCUGAUUCAGGGCCAGGCAUUUUUGUUUGUGGCUGUGAACCUCCUACGAUGCAUGGGUGAUGAGGCUGAAUUCGCGGCUGAUCAAAUUACACAAACCAAAACCUCUGAUGCCAGCAAAAAGAGAAGAUCAGAGUCCACGGUGUGGGAGGAAUUCACCAAGCUGUCAAAUGGUCAACAGGCAGAGUGUAAACAUUGUCUAAAGCGGCUCAGCGGAAAGAGUACAGGAGGAACAAGCCAUUUGUCCCGGCAUCUGAAGAUCUGCCCUGCACGACCUGGAAACACCAGCAAGCAGCCACAGGCUCCUGAAGCGCCCUCUAGGCCUACAGUCUCGAACCUUUGCUCGUUUCCAAUCAUGAGCAGUGCAGGUUUUAGGCAGGCUUUGGCUGGCAUCUAUCAUCCUACUUCUAGCAUGAUACCACAGAACGUCACUGAAGGACAGUUUAUCACUAUGUUUCGUAAUGAGAGGCUGAAACUGAAGGAUAAAAUAGCAUCUGCUCCCGGCGGAGUUUUUUUGUCAGUUAGAAGAUGGGACCUUGAAGAGAGCAUUUUUGAAUGUCUUGCAGUGCAUUUUAUUGAUGCAGAAUGGAAGAUACAUAGAAGAAUCAUCAGAUAUCGCUUGUCAAUGCUUGGACAUGCCGAUCCUGGACACUACAUCAGCAUCUUUCCCAUUCGGCAAAACUCCAGCCAUCCCAUCAGUGUUUUAUCAAAGGAAACAGUAGUUGAAUACAGUCUUAUGGAUAAGCUUCUGGGAAUUGCAUUGGAACAUUUAACGGAUGUUACAAUUACGGGGCGCUUGGAGAAUAUCCUUACAGGGAAGAACUAUCUUCUAGCCAAAUGUAAGUUGAUAACUAUGCAAUGUUCCGUAGAUGUGCUUCAUAGGAUCUUCGGAUAUGAGCUGAAUGACGUCAUCCUGGAAACGGGUCAAAAAUGGCUUAGCUACAUGACAUGCUCAGCGAGAAAUAUCAACAACUUCUUUCGCACAUGUGUCUACCCAGACCCUCUUUGGCUUCGGUGAUGUGGUACCCGACUUUCUACCUAAUGGAGGCUCUGUUGGAGUUCAAUAAGGAAUUUCCAAACCCUGAACAGAUGGACUCCAAAUCAUAUCCGCCCAAACCACCUUUUGAGACAAUAGAAGCAGCUGAAAGUUUCUGUCAGGUUGCAAGGCCAAUUUAUCAUGCAAUCAGAGUACUUUCCAAUCCUCGUAUGACUCUCAAUUCAUGUUUCCAUGCACUCUGGAGCGUGAGGGCAGCUCUGCAAGAGUCAUCUGGAAAUAUAUGCAUGGAGCGUGUUCUUGAUAUCGAGGACAUGUUGGAAACUUUUGAUAAACAUUGGAGAAAGGUGUACUUGUGGCUGUCUCUGGCCGUCGUGCUAGAUCCCAGAUAUAAGAUGAGGUUCCUUGAACAUUUCUUUAGACAAGCGUACGGUAAUGGUGCCAGAAUGUACAUCUCUGAAGUGCGGGGAAAGAUUUACGAGCUAUUUAUCCGAUACUCUUGCUGUGCUGAUCAACCAAGCACAAACAACGAUAUGCAGAUGAAUACUCAUGUCAGUGAUCCAUUAGAUGGCACAGGUCAGAAUUACAAUGAACUAGGAGUCAGUGAAGGCUAUCUAAGAGAACUCCAUGUGUACCUAGAUGGAGAGCUCUGCCCUCCAAAUGAUGUCAACUAUCUAAGCAUGGAAGCCUUGUCUCAGGAUGUCCAUUUUAAUAUCCUGAAAUGGUGGAAAGACAAUGCUUCCAUAUAUCCAGCUCUUGCUGCGCUCGCACGCGAUGUCUUAGUAAUACCUGGAUGUGCAGUGUCGGCUGAAUCUGCAUUUGAUAAAAGUGACGAACGUGCGCAUAUGUUCUAUCGACAGCUAAGUCACGAGAUUGUGGAAGCUGUCAUCUGCACUCAGGAUUGGUCCAAGAUUCAGGAAUGAGCGAUGGCGAUGGUGGGAUCUGCAGUAUGCCUAUUUAACUUGUGGGUGAGGUUAUUUUCCUGUCUUUCUUAUGAUUCCCGCUAAGCCUUAUUUUCAACACAGUUUCCAAGAGGCCUUAUGUAAAGUUUUCUGUUUGAGUACUUCCGAUGUCUUUCUUGCUGCUGGUAUUGUAAUGUGAUGCUGGUAUUGUACUUGUGCUACGGGUAUUCUAGUCGUUGCUGCUGCUGUGCACCAUGGUUGUAACCAAUACGGCAUUUAGCCGCGUUCAGUGAGAAGUUUGGAAUGCCUUGCUGAUGUUAACUCUGUAGUAAUUUGCAUAUUUUGCCUAAAUGUAAACGAAGGGAGAAAGUUUUACAGGGAUUAUCA